UGAUGUAAUGGUACGGUUUUGGUUUUGC
Molecule: small RNA, 28 nt
Filed under: Bombyx mori (domestic silkworm)
Lineage: Eukaryota; Metazoa; Arthropoda; Insecta; Lepidoptera; Bombycidae
Description: ovarian small RNA-32896
Source: RNAcentral